This 251-nucleotide ribosomal RNA is filed under the name Staphylococcus aureus. Its description in RNAcentral is "partial 23S ribosomal RNA". It matches the Rfam family "Bacterial large subunit ribosomal RNA", at positions 645 to 896 of the family's 2925-position model. The record is from RNAcentral. Lineage: Bacteria; Bacillati; Bacillota; Bacilli; Caryophanales; Staphylococcaceae.
GUUAAGCAGUAAAUGCGGAGCCGUAGCGAAAGCGUGUCUGAAUAGGGUGUUUAGUAUUUGGUCGUAGACCCGAGACCAGGUGAUCUAUCCUUGGUCAGGUUGACGUUCAGGCAACACUGAAUGGUGUACCGAACCGACUUACGUUGAAACGUGAGCGGAUGAACUGAGGGUAGCGGAGAAAUUCCAAUCGAACCUGGAGAUAGCUGGUUCUCUCCGUAAUAGCUUUAGGGCUCGCCUCAAGCGAUGAUUGU